GGGAACCGCUCCCUCCGCUUCCCGGGCUGCACCGCCCGGCCCGGCCCGGCCCGGCCUCCCACCGCCUCCCUUCUGCUCGGAGCGAACCCCGUUGUCAGCAGGAACAGCACCCUCCCUCCCGGUUCCAGGAGGCAAGGGUUCGAUGAUCACUCAGAAUCUGAAGUGGAGGAAUCUGAGGACCACACACCCAUAGCUGAAUCCCCACCAUCACUGGAUGACUCACGUGGCGUGGAAACACCAGCAUCUGCAGCCCAGCCGUCUGUAGUGGAAUUGCCACUAUCUGCAGACCAGCUGGCUGUCAAGAAGCCACCCCAUUCCGAGCACCACUUCCAGCUCAUUGUAUAGUCUGCAUCCAGGGAAAGCUCACCUGAGAUCAGAUCACCUGUGGGUGAACUUCCAGUUUUCAAAGUCAAGAUGCACACCUCUGAAUCCACACAGGAUGGCAGUAACACCGUUGAGGCUGUGUUGUCAGCAGCAGAGAUUGCAUUUGAAUCAUUGGAGAAUCCAGAGGAUUUUGGAGACCCCUAUCAAGUUGCCAUGAAUUAUGUGGAGGAACAUAAAAUUCUACAGCUAUUUCAGGAUAUCACAGAAAAACUGCUGAUCCAUAAGCCUGAUGACCCCUUGCAGUUCAUAUUGCUGGAGGUGCAGUCUAUGAUAAAUGCCAGGCAAGCAGAACCGGAGAAACUAUCGGAAUAGAGCGGAGAUGUGUAGGUGUUUCUAGAAGAAGGCUUGUGCACUCCUUUUGGUCCCCAUUUACCCUGCUGUUGUGGUAUUGCCACACCAUGCCUUCCCAGCACCGUGUAGUCAUUAGCAAUAACUUGGAAAAGAUCUGCUUGUCUGUCUCUUGCCUGGUUUAUCUGUUUUGUAUGCUUGUGCUUCCACUUGGGUCUAAAUCCUGCAACCAGGUUUUGGUUUGGAAUCACAGACUGAGAUCUAAGUGUGCAUGGAUCUGCAUGCACAUAUGGCACAUCUUGAAGAGGCAGGUCUGCUGAACUUCUAGGCAUAUAAAUGCAUAAAUCUCACAUUUAGGCCAAUCCACACUCUGCCUCUCUGUGCAGAGAAACCUCACAGCUCAGACAAUGCAAGGACAAAUGCAAGUGGAGUUAAAAAGCAGCCCUGGACAACCCACAGCCUUCUUUUCUCAUGCUGCAUUGGUGGCUUACUGUGUCCAGUUAUGCAGCAGCACCAAUGCCUAUCUCAUACUUCGAUAGUUUGUGUCUGGGCUUUCCCACUGCCCCCAGAGCUCCUCUAAUGCAAGAAGCUGUCUCUCUGCCUCUUCCACACACUGGGUACAGCUGUCUCACCCUUAAUCACUCCUGCUGGACAAUGAUCACUCUGCUUUUUGGGGUGGCCCUGCCUGUAUCAUUGUAAGUAGGGUGUUUAACCAGAACAGUAAAGCAACAGUUGCACACACCCUUUAUGCUUUCAGGAGACAUUGUCACUCAGGAAUGUGGGAGGUGAAUAAAAGCAAACAAUCCAAAACCAAGCACUGGUAGCCCAGAGAAUUAAGAGUCAAGAUACAUUUCGCAAGCACAUCAUUUGAACUGUGUUUGGUUUUUGAAACAAUUAAAAUUCUAAUUUUCAUACUAUCCAAGUGUUUGCUUCUACCCUGUAAAAAAAACUUUUUUUUUUCUUUUUCUUGUCUCUUGCCUGACAAUUAUUGAAAAUGUGCUACAGAGCAUACUGUUAUUUUGGCUUAAUAGAUUGUCUUAUAUGCAAUAGAUCCCAGAAAAGGUUUUUAUGUCACUACAGGCUUUUCUGUUGUUUAGCCAAGUGCUCUAAUUUCCUGAUGAAUGGUGGUGUAUUCCCAAAUGACUGUUUCUAUGGCUAUGUAGAGGGCACCAUAAAAACUUCCAUCUAUUUUUAAAAAAAUAAUGCAUGAUGAUUGGGAUGUGUGAUUCUACCCAACACAGCUCGGGCGCCAAAAGUCUGGGAAUAACAGAGGGCAAGUAUUUGGCAUACAAAUUCCAUGUGUGAGAUGAGUUUCCUUUCUAGCUGAGUUUCUCAAAAAGGAUCAGUUAACUCAUGUGUUUCAAAAUUGAAAACAGGUAAGCACCCCUGUCAUUCAUAGGCAAGGGAGUUUUUCAAGGUUAUUGUGAGCCUGAAGAUGGCUCACGAUUCAGAUUAAAUUUUCAUUGGUUUUAUAAGAGUUUUAAUGUAUACUUAAGCAUCUAGAUGCCACUGCAGCAGCGAGAUGCUUUUGAAAUCCCUACUUAUCUCCAGCAACUGGAAAAAUCUGACACUGAGAAUCUGAGAUUGAUCUGCUUACAAAUUCUUGACCAAAAAUGUAUCAGGCUGAAAAACAAUGCAUACAUGCCCUGUCCUAAUGUAUCUCUGUGGAACAGGAAAUGUAUGGAAGAUGAAGAUAGUGUUUGAAGCUUUCUUGUCUCUAUGGUCAUUUGUCAGCACAUUGUUGCAGGAGAUGGAGAAGCUGACAUGUCUUUGAAUUUUGUUGUAGAGCAGGAUUAGGAUGCCUUGGGGUACAGCCUUCACUGUGUAUUUCCUACCUCUGUCAUUUGGGUAUUGUAGUUUGUUGUUGUCUUUUGCUUACAAAAAGCUUUUGACCUGUAAUACGUUCUCAGACUAUAAGUAUAUGCCUUCAACUUCAUGUCAGCAUUAAGGGAGUUGUGCAAGGGAAGAUCCUUAAUUCCUCUCCCAGGUAGGUUGAAAUGAACUGGGAAGCAGUCUUCUUACAGGUGACAGAAGUUUUGCAAGAGAGGCCCUACCCAGUGUUCCUCAGUAAUCUCAGGGCCACAAUUUUCCUUUGAUGGCCUGGCCACCUCAUCUCAUGCUAACAAAGUUGCUGUGUGGCAGCAAGAAUUCCUUCCCAGUACACAUAAAAGAGAGCAUCUGUCUUGUCUAUUUCUCAGAAAAGAGAAACAGUGUUUUCUGUUCUUUUCUUUCUAUUAAGGAGAGGUCCUCCUCCAUUGAGGAGCAGUUUUCUAGAGAUGAAUGAGGCUGUACCCAGGAUAAGGUCUGUGGGCCUGGAGACGGCAUGUGUAGGGACUGGGGAAGGCAGUGGGCCAAGGAAAAUCCUUCAGCAUUCAGAGUUGGGGUGGGGGGGGAUAUAAUCUCUGAGCAAGGACUUAGAUCAGAAAUGUCACUUCCUUUACCUCAAGCCUCUCAGAUGAUCAAACUUAAUUUUAUAAAAACAAAAAAGCAUCCUCCAGAAUGUUUGCAAAUUACAACCUUAAACACUACGUGUUUAAGGUAGUGUCACACAGCUGUAUUUUUUCAUCUACUUCAGAAUUAUUCUGAGAAAUACACUCUAGCUCUAGAAAAAAACAACUUCACAUUAAGGCACUGCAGUUGUGUACAAGAAGGCUUUUCUGUGCUGAAGAAAAGAAAAAAAGUUGUAUUUUAAAUGGAAACUUUUACUGUAGCCUUAAUUCCAGAGUGACUGUCCCUUUUCCACAAUUUCUUUCCAAAACCAUUGGAUCCUUAUUUCAUCUUUGUAAGUGGACAUUUAUCAUCAUGACAUUAAACUGUCAUUAAAUUUCUUGCCUUGAAUGCUCAGAAGGAAUUAGCAGUUCCUCGUGUGUAACCGAAACUCUUCCAUAUAAGUCCUUAAAGCACACUAGUCACAGCACAUUUGAAUGCCCUCCAGAGUGCUAAGCAAUGUGACUAACAUCUGCUGUUUGCUCUUUCUCCUCUCCACAAGGGAAAUGGCUGUGCACUGAAGUGCAUUCUUCUAGAAAGGGUGGUUUGGGCUGUUUACCACACCUGUGUAUCUCUGUGUACUUCCAAUGGAUAAGUCAUGAAGUGGAAGGUGUGGAAGUUGGAGGUAGUUUGUAGUUUCCAUGGAUGAUUCCUCUGCAGUAUGAGCUGGGUACUGAGAAAAAACACAUUCUUUUCAAGGGAGAGAUAUUUUUGUUCAUCCAUGGACAGACACAGAGGUGCAACACCCAUCUAAUCUGCCAAAUGGCACAGUCUUAUGGUGCCCAGACUGUUUCUGUUGUGAACCUUGUGCUCCUCCAGAGGCAGGACACAGAGGAGCCAAUCAGGAGGAAAAGUGCAGUCCCUAUAAAAUAGGUCUCUUGGACCAAAACAUCAGUUUCUUUUUUCUGCCAUCUCUGUAUGGAACUUGAAAGCACUCAGCUGCCUCCAGUAUACUCCAGUAUUGCUCCAGCAAUACUGGAGGUGCCUGUGUACUGCUUCUAACCAAUGGGGGAAAAAAAGUUGUAACAACUGAUUAAAAAUUCUCUGAAAAGUUCA
Molecule: long non-coding RNA, 4215 nt
Organism: Melospiza melodia melodia
Lineage: Eukaryota; Metazoa; Chordata; Aves; Passeriformes; Passerellidae
Exons: 4
Source: RefSeq, a predicted model, not a curated record